This is a non-coding RNA of Taeniopygia guttata (zebra finch), 791 nucleotides long. Lineage: Eukaryota; Metazoa; Chordata; Aves; Passeriformes; Estrildidae. The record is from RefSeq and is a predicted model, not a curated record.
UUCCCUGAAGAGUUUUCUUCUAUAUCCAGCCCUUUAUUCCCCUUGAAUUCAAAUCAGAGGAGCCAAACAGCCAGAGAUUCUCUGAAGGCUUUUAUACCCGGUGGGGUUUGGCCCCUCCCUUUUCCUGGGUGUCAUGGGAAUGAGAGGCGGGCCCAAUCAGGGGUAUAUUAACCCCAGGCUUUGCCAAGGGGCUUCAUUCCCUCUCUGGGAUCCACUGGGGUAAGAGCUCUCCUCUCAUUUUGGUGAAGAGGCUCUUUCAGCUUAGCUUGUUCUCUGUAGGUGCUUUUGGGCUUCUAAUGUAACAGAGGCUUUGAAGAUACUGUGAAGAAAACAACACUGAACACAGGGAGUAUUUAAUUUCAUGAUUUGGGGUUGUGCAUUCAGGGGUGGUGAAGUGCUUCUGUAAUCUCUGACAUUUUUUGGUUUGUUUUUUUGUUUUUGUUUAGGAGGAGUGCAACUUCCUGUAAUUCCAGGUUGUGUCGAGUACAACAUUUUUUCAGCAGAGUGAUCAUGUUCCAAAAGGGAUCUGCCCUGUGUCAAAGAUGAUGUCUGAGAUUGAGGUUUCAGGAGGUCCAGGCAGAUAGCAGCAGUCAAGGCCAAGUGUCCAAGGGAAUCGGCUCGGAGUACGCAUACCUCUGUCACCAACUGGCUGAUGGACCAGGUUUCAUGCACUUGUGAUCUCGCUGGAAGUAUUACAGGACCCUGUGACAGAGCCUUCCAAUUUUGCAUUUCAAGGUCUCAUCUGGGUAGUCCCGAGGAAUGGCUGGGGAAUUGCAGUGAGUUGGGGGAGG